AAAGUCGUAACAAGGUUUCCGUAGGUGAACCUGCGGAAGGAUCAUUAAAGAUUUGGCCCUCGGGCCUAAAUCCACCUCUUUGGCUGUGCGCCUUUGGGCUGCACGCCAUUGAGUAAACCCACACACACCAUGUGCACCCACAUUUGGUUGUGGCAGGUCCUAGGAUCGGCCGCUUCCAAAACAAUUUACAUGUAACCAGUCCAGAAUGUAACAAAACUAUAAAGUAACAACUUUCAACAACGGAUCUCUUGGCUCUC
This 257-nucleotide unclassified non-coding RNA is filed under the name Basidiomycota sp. RNAcentral describes it as "partial contains small subunit ribosomal RNA, internal transcribed spacer 1, and 5.8S ribosomal RNA". The stretch from base 1 to 47 matches the Rfam family "Eukaryotic small subunit ribosomal RNA", at positions 1785 to 1831 of the family's 1831-position model. The record is from RNAcentral. Lineage: Eukaryota; Fungi; Basidiomycota.